CAACAAUUUCCCUGAACGGUGUAGCAGGAAGGACUUCAGCAGAGCCAACAAGGAAUUCCCGAAAGUAAACUAAGUACCUGGACCCCCACAGCCCCAGCAAUGGACACAGGACACCAUUCUUGCGCUUCCUUCCCACCACAGACACAGACUUGCUCGUUCCAGUCUUCAAGCCCAGAAAUCCUACCACACCUGCUCAAGGCCAUUCCAAUUAUGGAACUCCUCCAGGAACUUUCCCAGUUGCACCUUCUUUGAAGGCCCACAGCAUGCUGCAGCCUCCUUGCAGCAUUUACCACACUCAGGAUCAUGUUAGUGAUUGUGCAUGUAUUGCCACCAAUGGACUGAGAGGACAAAAUACAGACUUUGACUCUGCCUCUCUUAUCAGUAACAUCAGUACUUGCUCAAUUUAAAUUCAGUUCCUAAUUGAUU
RNAcentral lists this long non-coding RNA (426 nucleotides) under Pan troglodytes (chimpanzee). RNAcentral describes it as "long non-coding RNA NONPTRT017724". The record is from RNAcentral. Lineage: Eukaryota; Metazoa; Chordata; Mammalia; Primates; Hominidae.